This 3265-nucleotide long non-coding RNA is filed under the name Citrus x clementina. Its description in RNAcentral is "Citrus clementina (C. clementina) long non-coding RNA (CCLE_LNC004576)". The record is from RNAcentral. Lineage: Eukaryota; Viridiplantae; Streptophyta; Magnoliopsida; Sapindales; Rutaceae.
AAGUUCAGGCCAAGCCCGAGCUUUUCCCAUGAUCCCAUAUCCAAACCCAUCUACUGUGCGUUUUUGAAAUUUCAGCUAAUGACUAAACCGAGUCGUUACGGGCUGAGCUUAAAGCCCGUGGGCCUGAACAAGCAUUUUAUGGGCUUUUUUGCCAUUUCUAUCUAACAAAGACCACACCGUCAUUCUUGGCAUGAUCUCUCAUGUAGUCAACCAAGCUGCAUAGAUUAAAAAAUGUUCAAAUCAACAAAAAUAUAACCUUUAUAAACGAAACAAUUAAAUCUUAUAAUAUUUAUAAAGAAAACAACUAAAACUUACCUUUUCACCCUUGAGUCUUUUACGUUAACUAGUGUCCUAUUAAAAUAUGUAGUUUUGGCAUCCAUAAUAUCCAACCGUUUGUUAUACAAAUGAGACUUCUUAAGUGGGUUUUGUGAUUCGGAAGACUUGGAUAAAAAUCUUAUAACCAAUACUAUGAACAAAAAUAUAAAAAUUUAAUGUUAGGAUUAAAAUGAUUUUUCAUAAAUAUGUUAUAAAAGCAUAAAGCAAAUGUAUAAAUUUACCUUCACCUAUAGUAAGUUCUGAUUUAUUUUCAUACUGUCUUCUAUAUAUGGGCCAACUAAGGGAUAAUUGAAUAUUAGAAGUAAUUUGUUAAAAAAAACAAUCAUAAACUAAUAUAAUUUUAUUUUAGACAAAUAAAUAAAUAAAGUGUACUACACGGUUAAAGUGUACAUGGUAUACAUCAAGUUCUUAUUAAAGUAUACUAUACGGUAUACGUCAAGUCUGUGAAUGAUAAUCAAAUUAAAAGUUAACGGUUUGGAAGACAUUGCUAUUACUUUGGGUUAUACAAUAUUUUAAUAGAGGUUGCAACUAGUAACCCACUAAACUCUUCAUAAUACUUAUUUCAGUAAAAAUUACAUAAUAAUAAAAAGUGAACAUCAAUUAUAAUAUGCUCAACAUGAACAUCAAUUAAGAGUUUUGAAAUAUAUUUUCUAUCUUUUCUUUAUUUUCCACCUAAAUCCCAUAUUCUGCUAAAGACUAAAAUCUAAACAAUCAUCAGAAAAAAAAAACAUUUCAUAAUCAUUCAGGUUUAUCACCAUUGCUUCUGUCCUAAAGAUCUUAGUGGACAAUUGAUCUUAUGAAUGAGUAAUUUGUUUUGAGUGUAUUUAACUUUGCAACCUAUAAUUUCUGUUAGUUUCUUUUUAAUUAGUUAUGUUUAUAAUAUCAAUAUUGAUUGAUUAAAUUCAAAGGAGAGUUUAAGCAGUCCGACAUCUUCAAUUAUAAUGCAUGAUUCUUUUUUUCAAUAAACUAAUAUUGUUUUGCUGCAACCCCAAAGAGCAUUAAUCAUGCUUUUGCAUAUUCAUCAUUUCUCAAACUUGAUCCAGUAUGAAUACAAGGAUAAUCCAAGCGGGGAAAGUGAAAUACUAUCUACUACUUUAAGAAUAACAACGAUCCAACGAAAAUGGUUAGCAUCCAUAGCUAUAUCACCCAAAGUUAGAACUGAGUCUUCUAAAGCUUUACACUCAACCUUAUGAUCGCUCACAAUUUCUUCCAUUUUAUCAUUUCUCAAUUCUAACCCUCCAACCCCACCAUCAGCAGUAGUACCUGAAAGAAAAAUCAUGUAUAAAACUUGUAUCAAAAUGAUAAGUGUUAGUAAAUAAAAUAUGCAUGAAUGAGAAAAAAAAUUUCAUCUUUUGCUAAAGACUAAAAUCUAAACAAUCAUCAGAAAAAAAAUAUUUCAUUAAACAUUCAAAUUUAUCACCAUUGCUUUCGUCCUAAAAAUCUUAACUUUGCAACCUCUAAUUUCUGUUAGUUUCUUUUUAGAUUAGUUAAGGUUAGAAUAUCAAUAUUGAUUGAUUAAAGUCAAAGGAGAGUUUAAGCAGUCCGACGUCUUCAAUUAUAAUGCAUGAUUCCUUUUUUCAAUGAACCCAUAUUGUUUUGUUGCAACCCCAAAGAGCAUUAAUCACGCUUUUGCAUAUUCAUCACUUCUCAAACUUGAUCCAGUAUAUAUGCAAGGAUAAUCCAUGCGGGAAAAGUGAAAUACCACCACAACACAAAUUGGAUCUACUACUUUAAGAAUAGCAUCGAUUCCACGAAAAUAUUUAGCAUCCAUAACUAUAUCACCCAAAGUUAGAACUGAGUCUUCCAAAACUUUACGCUCAACCUUAUGAUCGCUCACAAUUUCUUUCAUUUUAACAUUUCUCAAUUCCAACCCUCUAACCCCACCAUCAGCAGUAGUACCUGAAAGAAAAAUCAUGUAUAAAACUUGUAUCAAAAUGAUAAGUGUUAGUAAAUAAAAUAUGCAUGAAUGAGGUUAUUAAUUUGUUAAUGGCUAAUAUCAACUAGAAUGUAAAUUCUAACAAUACCUACAUUAAUAGACACAAUAAUUGCUAUCAUAUCUUUCAUCAGACUUUCAAGGAGUUUAUUGAAAAUGAAGGCAGUCUAUCAUCCAACAAUAGAGAUGGUAAUUUAAGGGUAUGGGCUGGAUUUUUUCAAACUCAGGCCCAACCCAUGUUAUUGACUGAAAUCCUAAGCCCUCAAAAAGCCCGUCUAAUCGAACUUGGGUCUAAAACCCACGGGCCUGAGUCGAGCUGGGGCCGGGCUUGAACUUAAAUAAAAAUUUAAAAUGAAUUUUUAAUAGAGUUUAAAAGAGAAAAAAAGACCACUUAAAUAAAUUAUGAUUAAUCGAUUAUACAAUAAAUAAUAGACUAAUAAUCAAAUACACAAAAUAUAAAAUUAAAAUUUAUAAAAUUUAAAAUAUAAAGCCUAUCUUAUAUAAAAUAAAAAAAUAUAUUUAUAAAAUAUAAAGUUCAGGCGUUACGGGCUGAGCUUAAAGCCUGUGGGCUUGAACAAGCUUUUUAUGAGUUUUUUUGCCAUUUCUAUCUAACAAAAACCACACCGUCAUUUCUUGGCAUGAUCUCUCAUGUAGUCAACCAAGCUGCAUAGAUUAAAAAAUGUUCAAACCAACAAAAAUAUAACAUUUAUAAACAAAACAAUUAAAUCUUAUAACAUUUGUAAAAAAAAAAAACAACUAAAACUUACCUUUUCACCCUUGAGUCUUUUACGUUAACUAGUGUCCUAUUAAAAUAUGUAGUUUUGGCAUCCACAAUAUCCGACCAUUUGUUAUACAAAUGAGACUUCUUAAAUGGGUUUUGUGAUUCGGAAGACUUGGAUAAAAAUCUUAUGACCAUUACUAUGAACACAAAUAUAAAAAAUUAAUGUUAGGAUUAAAAUGAUUUUUCAUAAAUAUGUUAUAAAUUCAUAAAGCAAA